Molecule: ribosomal RNA, 499 nt
Filed under: uncultured bacterium
Lineage: Bacteria
Description: partial 16S ribosomal RNA
Rfam family: Bacterial small subunit ribosomal RNA
Source: RNAcentral
GACGAACGCUGGCGGCGUGCUUAACACAUGCAAGUCGAACGGGCCCGCCCCUGUUUUUGGGGGUGGGUUGAGUGGCGAACGGGUGAGUAUCACGUGAGUAACCUGCCCCCUGCUCCUGGAUAACUGCUUGAAAGGGCGGCUAAUACGGGGUGUGCCGGCUGGUCCGCAUGGGCCUGGUCGGGAUAGUUUCAUCUUCGGGUGUUUCGGUGGGGGAUGGGCUCGCGGCCUAUCAGCUUGUUGGUGGGGUGAUGGCCCACCAAGGCGGUGACGGGUAGCCGGCCUGAGAGGGUGGGCGGCCACACUGGGACUGAGACACGGCCCAGACUCCUGCGGGAGGCAGCAGUGGGGGGGAUUGCACAAUGGGCGGAAGCCGGAUGCAGCGACGUCGCGUGAGGGAUGGAGGCCGUCGGGUGGUGAACCUCUUUCUCCGGGGGGGAAGGCCCUGUCCGUUGCGGCGGGGUUGACGGUAGCCGGGUAUGAAGCGCCGGCUAACUACGUG